UUUAGUAGAGAGGAGAUUUCGCCAUGUUGGCCAGGCUGGUCUCAAUCGCCUGACCUCAGGUGAUCUGCCUGCCUCGGCCUCCCAAAGUGCUGGGAUUACAGGCAUGAACCACUGCACCCGUCCCACUGACUUAAAUUUUCCUCUUCAGUGGCCAUUGAUAUUUCGCCUGGAAGGAAAUAUCCAAGAAUCCCUAGAACUCUUCCAGACGUGCAGUUCUAAGCCCUCAGAGUGCUGAUAACCUCAAGCACGUGGCGAGAUCUUUAUUUCUUUUGGGAAAACAUAAAGCUGCCAUUGAAGUAUAUAGUGAAGCAGCUAAACUCAACCAGAAAGAUUGGGUAAGU
Molecule: long non-coding RNA, 341 nt
Organism: Piliocolobus tephrosceles (Ugandan red Colobus)
Lineage: Eukaryota; Metazoa; Chordata; Mammalia; Primates; Cercopithecidae
Exons: 3
Source: RefSeq, a predicted model, not a curated record